GACGAACGCUGGCGGCGUGCUUAACACAUGCCAGUCGAACGCUGAAGCUCAGCUUGCUGGGUGGAUGAGUGGCGAACGGGUGAGUAACACGUGAGUAACCUGCCCUCUUCUUUGGGAUAACGCCCGGAAACGGGUGCUAAUACUGGAUAUUCACUGUUUCUCGCAUGGGGGUUGGUGGAAAGGUUUUUUCUGGUGGGGGAUGGGCUCGCGGCCUAUCAGCUUGUUGGUGGGGUGAUGGCUUACCAAGGCUUUGACGGGUAGCCGGCCUGAGAGGGUGACCGGUCACAUUGGGACUGAGAUACGGCCCAGACUCCUACGGGAGGCAGCAGUGGGGAAUAUUGCACAAUGGGCGAAAGCCUGAUGCAGCGACGCCGCGUGAGGGAUGGAGGCCUUCGGGUUGUAAACCUCUUUCGCUCAUGGUCAAGCCGCAGCUUUGGGUUGUGGUGAGGGUAGUGGGUAAAGAAGCGCCGGCUAACUACGUG
This 482-nucleotide ribosomal RNA is filed under the name uncultured bacterium. RNAcentral describes it as "partial 16S ribosomal RNA". It matches the Rfam family "Bacterial small subunit ribosomal RNA", at positions 28 to 507 of the family's 1533-position model. The record is from RNAcentral.